UCCUCCUCUGGUAGUAGGUAUUAAAAACUGCUAUCACUCCUUGAUCCAUUGGUUGGAUCAAAGAGGUGGUGUUUGGAGGGAGAAACACUGCUUUGAUAUUGGGAUGAAGACCGCCAAUAAAAGGAGGAUGUCCAGGAGCUUUAUCAACAGUAAGCAAAAUCUUGACAGAUUUCAUGAACAUAAUGAAAUGGUGAUCUUACCCCGCUGGGUAUUGGAGUGGUUUGCUCUGCUGCAGUAGGAACUGGAUGUUACAGGGGUCAUGUGUUCCUAAUGGAGUACCUAAUGAGAGUCCCUGGAUCAUCUUUUGGAGGAGACUUGACCAACCCACACUGAUGUGAGCAAUAAAUAAACUUUCAGUCU
Non-coding RNA from Equus caballus (horse), 360 nucleotides. NCBI's taxonomy places the organism in Eukaryota, Metazoa, Chordata, Mammalia, Perissodactyla, Equidae. The record is from RefSeq and is a predicted model, not a curated record.